GCUGGGGCUCAGGGGUAGAGCCUUUGGUUUGCAUGCGGAAAGUCCCCGGUUCAAUUCCCGGCAGCA
Molecule: transfer RNA, 66 nt
Filed under: Sphaerodactylus townsendi
Lineage: Eukaryota; Metazoa; Chordata; Lepidosauria; Squamata; Sphaerodactylidae
Description: tRNA-Ala
Source: RNAcentral